AUUCCUCAUCAUGAUUAUCACUACAUUCUGUACCAUUGGGUUCCUCAGGCUGCAUGUUCGUACUAUGAAGAAGACAGAUGGGACAUUUGGCAACACCAACCAGGAAUCUCAUCAAACUGCUGCAAAUACAAUGAUAAGAUUUCUAGUAUUUUAUUUGAUGUUUUAUUUAAACACGGUUGUAUUUACUUUUGGAAGUACUACC
Molecule: non-coding RNA, 202 nt
Organism: Pelobates cultripes (western spadefoot toad)
Lineage: Eukaryota; Metazoa; Chordata; Amphibia; Anura; Pelobatidae
Source: the annotation of a GenBank genome assembly